GCCUGAAUAGCUCAGUUGGGAGAGCGUCAGACUGAAGAUCUGAAUGUCCCUGGUUCAAUCCCGGGUUCCGGCA
Molecule: transfer RNA, 73 nt
Filed under: Patiria miniata (bat star)
Lineage: Eukaryota; Metazoa; Echinodermata; Asteroidea; Valvatida; Asterinidae
Description: tRNA-Phe
Rfam family: tRNA
About the family: Transfer RNA (tRNA) molecules are approximately 80 nucleotides in length. Their secondary structure includes four short double-helical elements and three loops (D, anti-codon, and T loops).
Source: Rfam by way of RNAcentral